GUGCAUGGCAGACGGGUGAGUAACGCGUGGGGAAUCUACCUCUUUGUGGGGAAUAACGCUCCGAAAGGAGUGGUAAUACCGCAUGAGAUCCAUGGCUGGAAUGUUGUGGAUGAAACCUGGGGACCUUCGGGCCUGGGGCAAGGAGAGGAUCCUGCGUCUGAUUAGCUAGUUGGUGAGGUAACGGCCCACCAAGGCAACGAUCAGUAGCCGGCCUGAGAGGGUGAUCGGCCACACUGGAACUGAGACACGGUCCAGACUCCUACGGGAGGCAGCAGUGGGGAAUUUUGCGCAAUGGGCGAAAGCCUGACGCAGCAACGCCGCGUGGGUGAUUAAGGUCUUCGGAUCGUAAAACCCUGUCGUCGGGGACGAAGGUGUGGGGGUUAAUAGCCUUUGCAUUUGACGGUACCCGGAGAGGAAGCCCCGGCUAACUCUGUGCCAGCAGCCGCGGUAAUACAGAGGGGGCAAGCGUUAUUCGGAAUUAUUGGGCGUAAAGGGCGCGUAGGCGGCUUUUUAAGUGAGAUGUGUAAUCCCCGAGCUCAACUUGGGAACUGCAUCUCAUACUGGGAGGCUAGAGUACUGG
RNAcentral lists this ribosomal RNA (580 nucleotides) under uncultured bacterium. RNAcentral describes it as "bacterial SSU rRNA". It matches the Rfam family "Bacterial small subunit ribosomal RNA", at positions 91 to 652 of the family's 1533-position model. The record is from RNAcentral.